RNAcentral lists this long non-coding RNA (226 nucleotides) under Gossypium raimondii (Peruvian cotton). RNAcentral's name for it is "long non-coding RNA (GRAI_LNC009028)". Lineage: Eukaryota; Viridiplantae; Streptophyta; Magnoliopsida; Malvales; Malvaceae. The record is from RNAcentral.
AUGGUGGUGAGUGUGUUAGUUUACCUUUGGGUUCUGGGUUCGAGUCCUCAUAUGUGUUUUGAGGAAUUAAUUUAUUUUGGUUUUUUUUAAUUUUUAAAGAUUUACUUUUAAAAUUUGAAAGAAGAGGUUUUUCAAUUUCACAUUCUUUUCCUUUUUCCUAUUUUUUCCCUCUAUUAUUUUUCGGUUCUUCCCCAAAUUUCAAUUCUUUUGAUUUCUUCUUUCUUCC